This 84-nucleotide small RNA is filed under the name Flavobacterium croceum DSM 17960. RNAcentral's name for it is "Flavo-1 RNA". The record is from RNAcentral. Lineage: Bacteria; Pseudomonadati; Bacteroidota; Flavobacteriia; Flavobacteriales; Flavobacteriaceae.
UUAUUGCGUUAGGGAUAGUAGUGAAAAGCCCGCAGUGAGGAGUUUACGACGAGCGAGGACUUGUAACGUAUAGCCCGACCCGAA